CUGUCCACCUCGGGAGCUGACACGAUAAAUGCGGAGAAUGAGUAGCCACUGCUGUUUGCCCUGGCCCAUCAAUGAGAAGAUCUGCUCUUAGAGCCCUGCUUUCCUGCUGAAGGCCCCGAAAUCACCUGUGUUCCAGGCCACCCGCUAACAAUAAAUAAUGCUCCCCUGAUGUGGGGAAUUAGCUCAAGUGGUAGAGCGCUUGCUUAGCAUGCAAGAGGUAGUGGGAUCGAUGCCCACAUUCUCCAAGCUUUAUUAUUUAGACAUCGUGUCUCCAAACACUCA
This 282-nucleotide transfer RNA is filed under the name Homo sapiens (human). RNAcentral's name for it is "HSALNT0334806". The stretch from base 173 to 245 matches the Rfam family "tRNA". The record is from RNAcentral. Lineage: Eukaryota; Metazoa; Chordata; Mammalia; Primates; Hominidae.